UCAUCACUACGCUAGAUGCAUAUCAAUAAGCGGAGGAAAAGAAACUAACAAGGAUUCCCCUAGUAACGGCGAGUGAAGCGGGAAGAGCUCAAAUUUGAAAUCUUAAAGGGUUUCCCUUUACGAAUUGUAGUUUAAAGAAGUGUUUUCUGUUGGAGUUUCGGUAAAAGUUCUUUGGAAUAGGACAUCAUAGAGGGUGAGAAUCCCGUAUUUGACCGUUACUUUCCAGCUGUGUGAUACACUUUCAAAGAGUCGGAUUGUUUGGGAAUGCAGUCCAAAAUGGGUGGUAAAUUUCAUCUAAAGCUAAAUAUUGGCGAGAGACCGAUAGCGAACAAGUACCGUGAGGGAAAGAUGAAAAGAACUUUGAAAAGAGAGUUAAACAGUACGUGAAAUUGUCAAAAGGGAAGCGUUUGACACCAGUGUUGUUUAGUUGAAAAUCAAUUCAAUAAUUUUUGAUUUUGAGUAGUAUUGACUUCAUCAGCUUGCUGCUUUCUUUUCGGAAAUUAUUGAAUGCACUUUUCAGUUAACAAGUCAACAUCAAUUUCUUUUGUUGUAAAAGGGUAAGAGGAAGGUAGGCUUACGCUUCGGCGUAAGUGUUUAUAGCCUUUUACCUCUGCAAUCGGAGAGAUUGAGGACAGCAGCGUAGACUCUUCGGGGUUAGAUACACUUGUGCUAAGCUAUAGCCUUGUAUAGACAACUUGUUGACUAUGCUCAGUCAUGUAGCUUACUCGCUUGUGCUAUUUUACCUACGCUUAGGAUGUUGACGAGACUGUCGAUCUC
This 777-nucleotide ribosomal RNA is filed under the name uncultured Neocallimastigales. RNAcentral describes it as "partial large subunit ribosomal RNA". It matches the Rfam family "Eukaryotic large subunit ribosomal RNA", at positions 20 to 646 of the family's 3401-position model. The record is from RNAcentral. Lineage: Eukaryota; Fungi; Neocallimastigomycota; Neocallimastigomycetes; Neocallimastigales.